UUAAAUUGAAGAGUUUGAUCAUGGCUCAGAUUGAACGCUGGCGGCAGGCCUAACACAUGCAAGUCGAACGGUAACAGGAAGCAGCUUGCUGCUUUGCUGACGAGUGGCGGACGGGUGAGUAAUGUCUGGGAAACUGCCUGAUGGAGGGGGAUAACUACUGGAAACGGUGGCUAAUACCGCAUAACGUCGCAAGACCAAAGAGGGGGACCUUCGGGCCUCUUGCCAUCAGAUGUGCCCAGAUGGGAUUAGCUUGUUGGUGAGGUAACGGCUCACCAAGGCGACGAUCCCUAGCUGGUCUGAGAGGAUGACCAGCCACACUGGAACUGAGACACGGUCCAGACUCCUACGGGAGGCAGCAGUGGGGAAUAUUGCACAAUGGGCGCAAGCCUGAUGCAGCCAUGCCGCGUGUAUGAAGAAGGCCUUCGGGUUGUAAAGUACUUUCAGCGGGGAGGAAGGUGUUGCGGUUAAUAACCGCAGCAAUUGACGUUACCCGCAGAAGAAGCACCGGCUAACUCCGUGCCAGCAGCCGCGGUAAUACGGAGGGUGCAAGCGUUAAUCGGAAUUACUGGGCGUAAAGCGCACGCAGGCGGUCUGUCAAGUCGGAUGUGAAAUCCCCGGGCUCAACCUGGGAACUGCAUUCGAAACUGGCAGGCUUGAGUCUUGUAGAGGGGGGUAGAAUUCCAGGUGUAGCGGUGAAAUGCGUAGAGAUCUGGAGGAAUACCGGUGGCGAAGGCGGCCCCCUGGACAAAGACUGACGCUCAGGUGCGAAAGCGUGGGGAGCAAACAGGAUUAGAUACCCUGGUAGUCCACGCCGUAAACGAUGUCUACUUGGAGGUUGUGCCCUUGAGGCGUGGCUUCCGGAGCUAACGCGUUAAGUAGACCGCCUGGGGAGUACGGCCGCAAGGUUAAAACUCAAAUGAAUUGACGGGGGCCCGCACAAGCGGUGGAGCAUGUGGUUUAAUUCGAUGCAACGCGAAGAACCUUACCUGGUCUUGACAUCCACGGAAGUUUUCAGAGAUGAGAAUGUGCCUUCGGGAACCGUGAGACAGGUGCUGCAUGGCUGUCGUCAGCUCGUGUUGUGAAAUGUUGGGUUAAGUCCCGCAACGAGCGCAACCCUUAUCCUUUGUUGCCAGCGGUUAGGCCGGGAACUCAAAGGAGACUGCCAGUGAUAAACUGGAGGAAGGUGGGGAUGACGUCAAGUCAUCAUGGCCCUUACGACCAGGGCUACACACGUGCUACAAUGGCGCAUACAAAGAGAAGCGACCUCGCGAGAGCAAGCGGACCUCAUAAAGUGCGUCGUAGUCCGGAUUGGAGUCUGCAACUCGACUCCAUGAAGUCGGAAUCGCUAGUAAUCGUGGAUCAGAAUGCCACGGUGAAUACGUUCCCGGGCCUUGUACACACCGCCCGUCACACCAUGGGAGUGGGUUGCAAAAGAAGUAGGUAGCUUAACCUUCGGGAGGGCGCUUACCACUUUGUGAUUCAUGACUGGGGUGAAGUCGUAACAAGGUAACCGUAGGGGAACCUGCGGUUGGAUCACCUCCUUACCUUAAAGAA
RNAcentral lists this ribosomal RNA (1554 nucleotides) under Salmonella enterica subsp. enterica serovar Senftenberg. Its description in RNAcentral is "bacterial SSU rRNA". It matches the Rfam family "Bacterial small subunit ribosomal RNA". Lineage: Bacteria; Pseudomonadati; Pseudomonadota; Gammaproteobacteria; Enterobacterales; Enterobacteriaceae. The record is from RNAcentral. RNAcentral also lists the same sequence under 1 other name.